RNAcentral lists this long non-coding RNA (3482 nucleotides) under Daphnia pulex (common water flea). Its description in RNAcentral is "uncharacterized LOC124193241, transcript variant X1". Lineage: Eukaryota; Metazoa; Arthropoda; Branchiopoda; Diplostraca; Daphniidae. The record is from RNAcentral.
ACAAAAUAGUAAACGGGCAAGGGCACGACCUUCCCACGAUAAUCCCUUAACCAAAUUUUCAAGUAGCUAUCAACAUGAAAUUGUAAUUUCUUACCAACCCAUUCCACUAUAGGCUUUAGGCUUAGCUUUUUUUCUAACCCAAUAUCCUUCAAACCAUUUGCUGUUCUUAAAAUUAUUUAAAACUGAUGAUUUGUCUUUUUAAGAAACAUUUUAUGCAGGCAUGGAAUUUGUUUGAUUUUCAAUUUUGAAUUUGUUAGACGGUCAAGUGAGAUGGGUGAAAUGGAAGCAAUUUUCUCUCACCAGAAUGUCACUAGCAUCACUGACGUCAAGGAGGCUAUCAGCACGAAUCUUGGAGCAGAGCUCGUAAAUUUGAAAAUUUCCAAUAGAAGCGCAUCGCAUUACAGGAAUAGGAAGUUAUCAAUGCUGUGUCACGUCCAGAAAAUCUUGGUCAUGUUCAUUCUUCAUCACGUCACUUUUGUGACGUUGACUUUUCGCUCCUUUUUUCCUUUGGGAAUGUCAUUUUUUCCUCUAUGGGCGGGACAAUGGUUUUGGAUGUCGGUUGCCGAGAGAAUCAGCAACAACUUGGAAACGGCCAGCAUUUUCUCGGUGGCAAAGUUUUCAAGCGUGGGGCUGUGCUGUGUGGAAGACUGCGGCAAAGUCAGGCAGUGAUACCCAUGAGCAGCACAAUUCCAGCUUGAUCAAUGUACUCGCUAUUUAUUGACGUGAGUUAGACUCCCUCGUUAUGCGUUGGCCCCAAAUUGAGUUGGAUUGUGUGGUAACUUUGCUUCUCCCGACUUGCUAAUUUUACUCUACUUUUUUCUCUCUUUCUGUGUGUGAGUACUCUUAUGUGUUUUGUAUGUUGGUUGCUUGUGUGACGUGAUGGAUAUGGACGGCUCUCUAUUUCGCCCAUCAUGCUCGCUUUAGAUUGGGCUGGAUUACAUGAAUGUACCAUUGCUAUACCACCCAGUUUUUCUUCCAGUCGUCAUGUUGCUGUCCCCCUUUUUCAUCCGACGAUUGUCUUUUGACUUAAAUGAGAGCUUUUUUUGAUAGUUUCUCCUAAACUGGGACCUAUCUCUUAAAAAUGGCUCUUACAGUCCUACACACUUUAAGGAGUGGCUGUUGUCAUUUUUUUUUCUUUUCCCCUUCAAUUUUAAAUCUCCAUAUUAACAAAGAUAUGAAACGGAGAAGGGACUGAUGUUUUUUUUUAAAUUUCUUGGAGAGAAGGACACUUGGCUAGCUGAGAAAACAGACUUACAGUUUUUUUCAUUAUCAGUAAUAUAAUUCAAAUGUUUUAACUAAUUCUUCAUUUUUAAGGCCCAACUCUCCAGGAAAAAGAAAAUGGAUGUGUUUUGAAAGAGAAACUAGAUAUGACGAAGGAAAAGAAACUUGGCAAGCUGAAAAAAGAGACUUGCUGGUCCUUCUUUGACAAGAAAAAGAUAAUGGACGAGUUAUACGGAACAUUUUUGCCGAUUUAAAGGGCAAAUUUCGGGUGUUUUUCAGGAUUCACCAAUCGAACCCCACUGAAAAAAUUGUGAAACCUUAUUUAAACGUCUUGAAUUACCACCAAACCAUUGAAGAAUCUUCAGAGCCACCAAUACGGAAAUUUAAAUACGUCCGAAAACAUCACAGGAACAGCUAUUUUCUGAGGUAUUCUCAUUAAGAACCAGCUCCAACGUGCCAGGAAAGCAUGAAUUUCCGCUGCCACACAGGCCGAUGAUGAAUACUCUUCAAGGAGUCACUUCAUCGUGGCAACUUUAAAAAAAAUGAAAGAGAAUGCCAACGAAAUCCUUGAAGGAACUUUUUAUCUGAUUGAUUUUGCGGGAUCUGAAUCAUAUGAUUCUAAAAGCGCUCAUCAAAGGAAAGGAGAAACGUCCCCCAUAAACACUUCUCUUUCUGAACUCACCUCGGUUUUUCGAGCUUUCUCCGAAAAAAGUUAUACUUUUCGAAAUUCUAUUUUGAUUUGUUUCCCAGAACUUUUUGAUCAGCAGCAUAAAAAGUUCUAAUGAUGUUGAAUGUGGCCCCUAUUGAUAGCUGUUCUUGAGAGACAUAAAGAUCAUUAGAAUUCUGCAAAACAGCUAACUGUUGCUUGAUUGGUUCUGCUCGAUUGUGAUCCAGGAUGUCACAUGGUUCAUCAAUUCCCCAGCUAAAACAAAUACCCGGACUCCCCACCAAAAAAACCUCGGUGCUCCCGAAAAAAGCAGUCCUUUGCCUAUGCCUUUGACAUAGAGGAUAAAAUCCACCAUUUCCUGUGUAGAAGAGUUCCAUUUUGAUCCAGUUUUUCUCCACCGAGUAUUUAUUCACAAAUACAUGUCAAAAUUAAUUGUUUUAUCUUUCUUAUUAGGCGGGAACGCUGGAUCUGAAUCCGCAGGAUAGAUUCCCCACAGCUUGGAGUUUUUUUUCUCAGUUUCAAUCCCUUAAAUCAAAACAAUGGUAAUUCAAAUUAGGGGUCUCUUUUUGGAAAAUGUACAAUAAUAAGGUAUAGAUCUACUGAACUUCACUGCUGGUGCCUUAAAAAUAAGGGAAAAGAUGGCCCAAAAUUACGUUCCUAGAAGGUAUGAAUGGUACUAAUGUUCCCCAUAUACGACGUCGGAUUUGGUACAACCUUUUGGCGUCACCAAAUAUUUUUCCGUGAGAAAUCCAAUUGUGUAGGUCCAUUGCCGUCCCUAAAACGACUUUAUUUGGAUCACUCUUUUAUAUCCAUAUUCCGUUGUAAUUAGACCUUAUUCGUACUAGUAGGACACCCAAUUUCUUCUGCAUCAGUAAAAAAAUCAUUCAGGCUUGGAAAUGUUAUUUACCUCAAUAAACUAAUUUCUUCUCUUAUUGAAAAAACGAUGGUUGCUCGGUCAAGUAACUGGCCGAGGUCGAUCGAAGAGUUUCAUUUUGGUCUAAAGUUUUGUCCAGGAUAUAUCAAUUCGCAUAGCUUUCAAAUGUUGAAUGCUUUCAGAUAUUUUGUCAAUUUCUUUCUGCGUUGUCUCUUCUUUUUUUAUUCGUCCCGCAUUUUCAAAUGAUUCUUCAUCAAUUCCAUGAGUUACAAGCCAAUUGCGAGUGUCUUCCGCUUUUUCGAGUUGUAAUUUAAUAUCUCGCUGUUUCUUUUUUUUAAUUUGCUUCCAUAUUCAUCACUUCCUCAAAAUCGUUCAAAAAUUUUUUCUCUGUUUGCUUCAUGCUUAGCGAUGAGGCUUUAAUGACUUGAUUUGCCAGCUGUUCAAAUAAAUCAAAAGCAUCGCAGACUUUCUUUGUCAACCUGGCUCCAGCGUCAACCACUUCUUUGAUAUUAUCCAGGCGUCUGUCCAAAAAUGUCUUCAAUUUUACUCUCGUUUGAACUUGUUACGCACCUCACGCAAUCUCUUGCGUAGCCAGAUACUUGACCCUCUGUAAUAACAGAAUGUUCUCCAAAUUUUUAUGAGCUUUCGCAAAGUUUUCGUUGGAUUCUUUGGCGAUUUGCCACAAAAUUGUGCGGAAACUCUCUGGAGCUGAAUAAAUUG